RNAcentral lists this ribosomal RNA (494 nucleotides) under uncultured bacterium. RNAcentral describes it as "SSU rRNA". It matches the Rfam family "Bacterial small subunit ribosomal RNA", at positions 26 to 518 of the family's 1533-position model. The record is from RNAcentral.
AGGACGAACGCUGGCGGCGCGCUUAACACAUGCAAGUCGAGCGAGAACCGAAGCCUUCGGGCAUCGGGGAAAGCGGCGAACGGGUGAGUAACACGUGGGCAACCCACCCUUGGUACCGGGAUAGCCCGGGGAAACCCGGAUUAAUACCGGAUGGCCCAGCAGCCUUUCGGGGCGGCUGGAAAAGGGAGCUUCGGCCUCCGACCAAGGACGGGCCCGCGGCGGAUUAGCUUGUUGGUGGGGUAACGGCCUACCAAGGCGACGAUCCGUAGCUGGUCUGAGAGGACGAUCAGCCACACUGGGACUGAGACACGGCCCAGACUCCUACGGGAGGCAGCAGUGGGGAAUCUUGCGCAAUGGGCGAAAGCCUGACGCAGCGACGCCGCGUGGGGGAAGAAGGCUUUCGGGUUGUAAACCCCUUUGACCCGGAAGAAUGCCCGCAAGGGUAUGACGGUACGGGUAUAAGAAGCCCCGGCUAACUACGCGCCAGCAGCCGC